UGAGUAAAUAAUGGAAAAUGGUGGAUGAUUUUAGCAAUAAUGAAGCCUUAUAUACCUUUGGAUGUUGCUGUAUUGGAUAUUUUGGAAAUUCACAAUACUCCAAGGAACAUGUUGAAGUCAUUCUCACAGGACUUGACUCAAUGGGGAUACAUCCUAUCCCAUUCUGGAGAGAGACUUGAAGAUGCAACAGGUGAUCCCCAGCAAUGUAUCUAGUGGGUAAGGAUACCUGCCGGCUUUCACGUGUUGACCCUGCCACUUACUAAGUGUGACCCUCAUCUGUGAAACGUGGGCAACAGUAGUAUGUGCUUCCCAGGG
RNAcentral lists this long non-coding RNA (315 nucleotides) under Dasypus novemcinctus (nine-banded armadillo). RNAcentral describes it as "lncRNA (ENSDNOG00000050961.1)". The record is from RNAcentral. Lineage: Eukaryota; Metazoa; Chordata; Mammalia; Cingulata; Dasypodidae.